RNAcentral lists this ribosomal RNA (466 nucleotides) under uncultured bacterium. Its description in RNAcentral is "bacterial SSU rRNA". It matches the Rfam family "Bacterial small subunit ribosomal RNA", at positions 338 to 795 of the family's 1533-position model. The record is from RNAcentral.
CCUACGGGCGGCAGCAGUGAGGAAUAUUGCGCAAUGGGGGCAACCCUGACGCAGCGACGCCGCGUGGAUGAUGAAGGCCUUCGGGUUGUAAAAUCCUGUCAGAUGGGAAGAAGUGCUAUAGCGUUAAUAUCGGUAUAGUUUGACGGUACCAUCAAAGGAAGCACCGGCUAACUCCGUGCCAGCAGCCGCGGUAAUACGGAGGGUGCAAGCGUUGUUCGGAAUUACUGGGCGUAAAGCGCGCGUAGGCGGCUAUUCAAGUCAGAUGUGAAAGCCCGCGGCUCAACCGUGGAAGUGCAUUUGAAACUGGGUGGCUUGAGUACUGGAGGGGGUAGUGGAAUUCCCGGUGUAGAGGUGAAAUUCGUAGAUAUCGGGAGGAAUACCGGUGGCGAAGGCGACUACCUGGCCAGAUACUGACGCUGAGGUGCGAAAGCGUGGGGAGCAAACAGGAUUAGAUACCCUUGUAGUC